RNAcentral lists this transfer RNA (86 nucleotides) under Puccinia graminis f. sp. tritici. It matches the Rfam family "tRNA". Rfam says of the family: Transfer RNA (tRNA) molecules are approximately 80 nucleotides in length. Their secondary structure includes four short double-helical elements and three loops (D, anti-codon, and T loops). Further hydrogen bonds mediate the characteristic L-shaped molecular structure. tRNAs have two regions of fundamental functional importance: the anti-codon, which is responsible for specific mRNA codon recognition, and the 3' end, to which the tRNAs corresponding amino acid is attached (by aminoacyl-tRNA synthetases). tRNAs cope with the degeneracy of the genetic code in two manners: having more than one tRNA (with a specific anti-codon) for a particular amino acid; and 'wobble' base-pairing, i.e. permitting non-standard base-pairing at the 3rd anti-codon position. RNAcentral also lists the same sequence under 1 other name. Lineage: Eukaryota; Fungi; Basidiomycota; Pucciniomycetes; Pucciniales; Pucciniaceae. The record is from Rfam by way of RNAcentral.
GCAUCUGUAGCCUAGUUGGUAAAGGAAGCACUCUUGUAUGUGACUCAGCAUUGCUGAGGUUGUGAGUUCAAAUCUCACCAGGCACA